This 140-nucleotide ribosomal RNA is filed under the name uncultured bacterium. RNAcentral's name for it is "partial 16S ribosomal RNA". It matches the Rfam family "Bacterial small subunit ribosomal RNA", at positions 355 to 508 of the family's 1533-position model. The record is from RNAcentral.
UGGGGAAUAUUGCACAAUGGGCGAAAGCCUGAUGCAGCGACGCCGCGUGAGGGAAUGACGCCUUCGGGUUGUAAACCUCUUUCAGUAGGGAAGAAGCGAAAGUGACGGUACUGCAGAAAAAGCGCCGGCUAACUACGUGC